AGCAGCUUGGCGCAGCGGUAGCGCGCGGGGCCCAUAACCCCGAGGUCCUUAGAUCGAAACUAAGAGCUGCUA
Non-coding RNA from Steccherinum ochraceum, 72 nucleotides. The record is from the annotation of a GenBank genome assembly. Lineage: Eukaryota; Fungi; Basidiomycota; Agaricomycetes; Polyporales; Steccherinaceae.